Molecule: ribosomal RNA, 460 nt
Filed under: uncultured bacterium
Lineage: Bacteria
Description: partial 16S ribosomal RNA
Rfam family: Bacterial small subunit ribosomal RNA
Source: RNAcentral
CCUACGGGGGGCAGCAGUGAGGAAUAUUGGUCAAUGGACGAGAGUCUGAACCAGCCAAGUAGCGUGAAGGAUGACUGCCCUAUGGGUUGUAAACUUCUUUUAUAUGGGAAUAAAAUGUUCCACGUGUGGGAUUUUGUAUGUACCAUAUGAAUAAGGAUCGGCUAACUCCGUGCCAGCAGCCGCGGUAAUACGGAGGAUCCGAGCGUUAUCCGGAUUUAUUGGGUUUAAAGGGAGCGUAGGGGGAUUGUUAAGUCAGUUGUGAAAGUUUGCGGCUCAACCGUAGAAUUGCAGGUGAUACUGGCAGUCUUGAGUACAGUAGAGGUGAGCGGAAUUCGUGGUGAAGCGGUGAAAUGCGUAGAUAUCAGGAAGAACACCGAUUGCGAAGGCAGUUCACUGGACUGCAACUGACACUGAGGCUCGAAAGUGUGGGUAGCAAACAGGAUUAGAUACCCUUGUAGUC